RNAcentral lists this unclassified non-coding RNA (342 nucleotides) under soil metagenome. RNAcentral describes it as "partial contains 5.8S ribosomal RNA, internal transcribed spacer 2, and large subunit ribosomal RNA". The stretch from base 1 to 120 matches the Rfam family "5.8S ribosomal RNA", at positions 35 to 154 of the family's 154-position model. The record is from RNAcentral.
GAUGAAUAACGUAGUGAAAUGCGAUAAGUAGUGUGAAUUGCAGAAUUCAGUGAAUCAUCGAAUCUUUGAACGCACAUUGCGCCCUUUGGUAUUCCAAAGGGCAUGCCUGUUCGAGCGUCAUUUGUACCCUCAAGCUUUGCUUGGUGUUGAGCGUCUUGUCUCUAGCUUUGCUGGAGACUCGCCUUAAAGUAAUUGGCAGCCGGCCUACUGGUUUCGGAGCGCAGCACAAGUCGCACUCUCUAUCAGCAAAGGUCUAGCAUCCAUUAAGCCUUUUUUUUCAACUUUUGACCUCGGAUCAGGUAGGGAUACCCGCUGAACUUAAGCAUAUCAAUAAGCGGAGGA